UACGGAGGAUGCAAGCGUUAUCCGGAUUUAUUGGGUUUAAAGGGUGCGUAGGCGGGAUAAUAAGUCAGUGGUGAAAGCCUGUAGCUUAACUAUAGAAAUGCCAUUGAUACUGUUGUUCUUGAGUACAGUUGAGGUAGGCGGAAUGUGUAAUGUAGCGGUGAAAUGCUUAGAUAUUACACAGAACACCGAUUGCGAAGGCAGCUUACUAAGCUGGUACUGACGCUGAGGCACGAAAGCGUGGGGAGCAAACAGGAUUAGA
RNAcentral lists this ribosomal RNA (259 nucleotides) under uncultured prokaryote. Its description in RNAcentral is "partial 16S ribosomal RNA". It matches the Rfam family "Bacterial small subunit ribosomal RNA", at positions 524 to 782 of the family's 1533-position model. The record is from RNAcentral.